GUGUGUUGAUUCUUGUUUCUGGUUUCCUUCUCCUCGAUAGAGUUCCGCAAGCAUGUCGGACUGUGAGAAUCCGUUCUACUACGUUAGUUCGUCUGCUUCAUGCAUUCGUUCUUCUUCCAAGCGGGAUCACAUGAAAGAUGACCAUUUCCCUAGAUACCAUUACUAUCAAUGCCAUGCUAGUUGUCUCGUUUCUUUCACUAUGUCUCGCUGCCUACCACUUAAAUGUCAACCUCGCAACAUUGCCAUGAAAAACAUCUAACCUUUUCCACAACCCACCAAACCAUUGUUUGGCUAUGUUACCGCUUGCUCAGCCUUCUUAUAGCAUUGUGUGACAGCCCCAAUGCAAUUCUCCCCCCUUGUAAUCUUUCCUUGUAAGGCAACCUUGUGAUGUUAUGUUAAG
RNAcentral lists this long non-coding RNA (400 nucleotides) under Hordeum vulgare. Its description in RNAcentral is "long non-coding RNA (HVUL_LNC012572)". The record is from RNAcentral. Lineage: Eukaryota; Viridiplantae; Streptophyta; Magnoliopsida; Poales; Poaceae.